UGGGGAAUCUUGCACAAUGGGCGAAAGCCUGAUGCAGCAACGCCGCGUGGGGGAUGACGGCUCUCGGGUUGUAAACCCCUUUCAGCAGGGACGAAUCUGACGGUACCUGCAGAAGAAGCCCCGGCCAACUACGUGCCAGCAGCCGCGGUAACACGUAGGGGGCGAGCGUUGUCCGGAUUUAUUGGGCGUAAAGAGCUCGUAGGCGGCUCAGUAAGUCGGGUGUGAAAACUCCGGGCUCAACCCGGAGACGCCACCCGAUACUGCUGUGGCUUGAGUCCGGUAGGGGAGCGUGGAAUUCCCGGUGUAGCGGUGAAAUGCGCAGAUAUCGGGAGGAACACCAGCGGCGAAGGCGGCGCUCUGGGCCGGAACUGACGCUGAGGAGCGAAAGCGUGGGUAGCAAACAGG
Molecule: ribosomal RNA, 405 nt
Filed under: uncultured bacterium
Lineage: Bacteria
Description: bacterial SSU rRNA
Rfam family: Bacterial small subunit ribosomal RNA
Source: RNAcentral